CUGAAGAUCUUGCGCCUUUCCAAAAGACCUGUGUCAUUGCUCAGUCACCCUCACACUGGAAAUAUUUCCUGAUGUUCAGAUGGACUCUCCUGUAUUUUGGUUUGUGCCCACAGCAUCUUGCUCUGGCACCGGACCACUGAAGUAGCCUGGCUUUGUCAUCUUUACACGCUUCCUUCAGGAGAGAUGAGUAGGACCAGAGAACUCCAUCUCCACUGCUGUAAUUUGCACUGCGCUUCAGAAUAUUUGCACAUCAAACCAUUCUUCAUCCUGGGAGUGAGUGCCUCAGAAGGUAUUUUUAUAUUUUUGUGUGUGUGUGUGUAUCUAUAUAUGUGUGUGUAUAUAUAUGUAUAUAUAAAAUGUAAGUAUAUAUGUAUAUUUUCUCCUCGUUUGAAAGGCUGGUGCGUGACAAUCUGCCAGUCAUGUUCCUUGAGAGCAGGGUAAAAAAAGAAAAAGCAAAGACCUGUAACUAAAGUAUUCUCUGGAAAAACGCGGGGCUGUACACGACAGGAAUACAAUGUGGUGGUCUUGUGCCAUAUCAUGGUUCUCAUCCUGAUGCUUACGUCGUCUUUAGAAAGGAAAAUAUACUUGUGUGCCAUCUUCAGCAUAACUGUGCGCUCAUGCUGCAUGAUUUAAGGUUGCCAACUCAGCCUCUGAUAUAGCACUGUAAGACUGCUUGAGUGUUGGCAGCUGCUGGCAGUUCCUUAGCAUGGAAAAUCAUAAGGAUAACUGUAAAUGAGUUGAGAAGCAUCUCCUCCCUCCUACUCAUACUUGUCACAACCCAGAAGAACAUGAAGUACCUCAACUUCCACCAACAAACCAAGGUAGGUCAUUGACCCAUUUUACUGAAGGUCUCUCCCAUCCUCUCAGCCAGAAAUGCUGCUUACUGCCACGUUCUGUAGCUGUUUACAGUCCGAUUCUGCCCACUGUUUAGGUAAAGCGUUAUGAAUUUGCAUCAGUGCAAAGGAAGGAAGUUACAGCUUCAGUAAUAUGUGUGUUUCAAUUAAUUUCAAGUAAGUAAGCAUAGCUUUAAGAAAUGGAUCUCGUCUAACAAAGCGAUUUAAUUCCCCUGAGCCUUGUUUUCAGAACAAGCUUCUAAAGUACAGAGAAAAGUACCCUUUAGCGAUGACAGCAAUACAGCGAAGGACUCACUGAAGGAAACUGCUCUAAAUGCUGUCUGGGCAAAUUUGGAACUUGGAACAAGGGAAAGACAUCUAGUCUUAGGAAACCAUAAAAAACAAUAAGAGAAGACUAUAGAAGAUUCACAUACCUGCAGCUAAUGGAGACAGCUCCUGUGGACAGGGAUUGAUGGCAGCAAUACAGAUUUGAGGGGAGGCUGAAAAAAAGAGCACAGUAUAUGCUACUUCAACUCUUGAAGCCUGCCUUGCUGGAUGAGCCUCUCCUGUAGAUUUCUGCUGAAUGCUUCUGACCUUGAAUAAUAAUUUUAAAAAUCUUCAGACCCUCCAUAGAUAUUUUAGCAUUGAGUCCAUCCCCUGUGCUGAGCCCCAGAUUUUCUUCAAAACUUCACACUCCUUUUCAUUUGCUUGUUCCAAGUCCACCUUCAUAAUAUUACGUACUAGAGCUUUGGAUUCUUCAAGUACCUACACAAGAAAAAGAAGAGUUUGUUCAGUUUUGAGCAACUUGUGCAUUUAGUUUUAUUCAAACAGACCCUGAUGUUAUUCAUAAAUUUGAGUUUUCAAACUGUUCAUGUACCACAUGUGCAUGAUUUUAGUGAUAACGAGAGAAAACGAACUUCAUUUUGGUGAAGGUUAACUGUAAUACUGUUAUCCAGAACUGCUCUAGAACCUGGCAGACAUUCUAGUUUAAACAACAUUUUUAAAAAAGAUUGAAAAAAAAUCAAAGGUUGACUUUUUCACUUGUUCUGUUUCAAAAUCCACAAUUUCUAAUGCACAGAACAGUUGUCUUGUACUUUAUCUCUUACCCUAAGGAAGCAGGGGAUUGUGGCAGUUGCAACAUACCGAAGCACAUACAGACAUGAGUGCCACAAGUAUCACCAGUAAAAACUGAAAGCUUAAGCUAUUGUCAAAAAACUCUGUUUUUGCUACACAAUUAUUUUUAAGUUUUCAACUUCCUUCAUAGUUUAAAUUACAACAAAAUAUGAUGAGGGCAACUGUUUACACUGUUAAUUAGAAUAAGUAAGUUGGACUUAUCUACUGUAUCAUUUAUACUUAAGUUAAAAAUAAAGUAUAUUUUUAAAGAGUGCUGUGUUCUUAAC
This 2233-nucleotide long non-coding RNA is filed under the name Gallus gallus (chicken). The record is from RNAcentral. Lineage: Eukaryota; Metazoa; Chordata; Aves; Galliformes; Phasianidae.